GGCUAGGGGUGCCGUAAGGCUGAGAGAUACAAAUGUAUUAACCCUAAGAACCUGAUAUGGAUAAUACCAGCGAAGGGAAGCGUAAAGAUA
Molecule: non-coding RNA, 90 nt
Filed under: uncultured Clostridium sp.
Lineage: Bacteria; Bacillati; Bacillota; Clostridia; Eubacteriales; Clostridiaceae
Description: TPP riboswitch (THI element)
Rfam family: TPP riboswitch aptamer (THI element) (bases 2-81)
About the family: Vitamin B(1) in its active form thiamin pyrophosphate (TPP) is an essential coenzyme that is synthesised by coupling of pyrimidine and thiazole moieties in bacteria.
Source: RNAcentral